AGCAUACGUUUUAUGUAUUCUGCAAAAAUACAGGUGAUAAAUUUGUUGUUUAUCUAUGCUUU
This 62-nucleotide transfer RNA is filed under the name Trichobilharzia szidati. Its description in RNAcentral is "tRNA-Cys". Lineage: Eukaryota; Metazoa; Platyhelminthes; Trematoda; Strigeidida; Schistosomatidae. The record is from RNAcentral.